RNAcentral lists this ribosomal RNA (786 nucleotides) under uncultured bacterium. Its description in RNAcentral is "bacterial SSU rRNA". It matches the Rfam family "Bacterial small subunit ribosomal RNA", at positions 56 to 840 of the family's 1533-position model. The record is from RNAcentral.
UGCAAGUCGAGGGGCAGCAUUGGAGUAGCAAUACUUCAGAUGGCGACCGGCGCACGGGUGAGUAACACGUAUCCAACCUGCCGCUUACUCGGGGAUGGCCUUUCGAAAGAAAGAUUAAUACCCGAUGGUAUAUCUGAAAGGCAUCUUUCAGCUAUUAAAGAAUUUCGGUCAUUGAUGGGGAUGCGUUCCAUUAGGUUGUUGGCGGGGUAACGGCCCACCAAGCCAUCGAUGGAUAGGGGUUCUGAGAGGAAGGUCCCCCACAUUGGAACUGAGACACGGUCCAAACUCCUACGGGAGGCAGCAGUGAGGAAUAUUGGUCAAUGGACGAGAGUCUGAACCAGCCAAGUAGCGUGAAGGAUGACUGCCCUAUGGGUUGUAAACUUCUUUUAUACGGGAAUAAAGUUAGGCACGUGUGCCUUUUUGUAUGUACCGUAUGAAUAAGGAUCGGCUAACUCCGUGCCAGCAGCCGCGGUAAUACGGAGGAUCCGAGCGUUAUCCGGAUUUAUUGGGUUUAAAGGGAGCGUAGGCGGAUGCUUAAGUCAGUUGUGAAAGUUUGCGGCUCAACCGUAAAAUUGCAGUUGAUACUGGGUGUCUUGAGUACAGUAGAGGCAGGCGGAAUUCGUGGUGUAGCGGUGAAAUGCUUAGAUAUCACGAAGAACUCCGAUUGCGAAGGCAGCUUGCUGGACUGUAACUGACGCUGAUGCUCGAAAGUGUGGGUAUCAACAGGAUAGAUACCUGGUAGUCACACAGUAACGAUGAUACUCGCUGUUGCGAUAUACAGUAGCG